CAGGGAUGUUAAAACGGGCUUACCCGCCCAUUUACGUCCAAGCCCGUUUACGUCCAAACCCGUUUAAUAGAUGUCCAUUUAAAACCCGUUUAAAUCAGACCCGUUUAGAGCCCGUUUAUGUGAAGCCCAUUUAACACUAAACCCGUUUCAAACCCGUUUCAAGCCCGUUUACUUAAAAAAAAAAUGAACAUGAUCUAUUUAUAUCAUAGCUUAUCUUUUCGAUGAAACCUGUUAAAUACCUGUCAAAUAAAAUAUGAAUCCAGAACCUUACAUUGUUUUGCUUCAACUAAAAAUUCAAAGUUUACAAAUCACAGUCACAGCAUAAUUGAAAAAUAAAGUUCACACUUCACACUAAGUGUCCAUAAGUUACUCUUUUCCUUCUUGAACGUCUACCAGGAUCUGUCCAUGUUCAAAACAUAACAUAUUAUAUAUUUUCAUCAAAAAAAUUAUAAACUGAUGUAAAACAGAACCAGAAAACUAUGUACCUUUGUUCCAGCAAACAUAUCAAUCUUUUGAUGUUGAAGACUCCACUCCAUAAUUACUUGCUUUCUUUCCAACAUCUUCAUUUUCAUCAAAGAGAUCUUCAAUGGCACCUACAAAGUAUAAUAUGAAUUAGUUAUAAGAAAAUAUAGUCAUAAAAUAAAACGGCCUUUUAGCAUUACCUUUGUAUUCAGCAAAACCGCGCAACCAAUUCCUAGUGCAAAGAAGAGCUUGGACAUUUUUAGGCAAGAGACGGUUUCGGUAUGGAGUUAAAACCCGGGAUCCAAUGCUAAAGGCAGACUCUGAAGCUACUGUGGUGAUCGGAAUGCUGAGGAUGUCACGUGCCAUCGAUGCUAAAUCUCCAAAUCGAUGUUGGUUCUCUUUCCAAUAAUUCAAGACAUCCAAAUCCAAGUUAGCCCUUCUGUUCAGCCUUGGCUCUUCCAAAUAUAUAUCCAAAUGUGUCUUUGGGUUGCCAACUCCACCUCCAAUGCUCUUUUCCAACUCAAAAAAAUCCUUCAUUAUGAACAUUUAUAUCAGAUAAACAAUUUCAAGAUAAAGCAUGACUGAAAUUAUCUAAAAUUAUAUUAAAUUACUUACAUUAUCAUAAUCAUCUUCAAGUGGAGAUUCUGUGACAAUCUCUUGUGGAGUUGGUGUGAGUGAAACACCUGAAGAACUUGUUUGAGACCGUUUCUGAUAGUCUUUGUAGAGUGCAGACAAACUAUCCUUGAGUUCUUUUAUCUUUAAACUUGAAGUAGAGGGAUCCAAUUUCUUAUAAGCAGCUUCAAGCAUCUCAAUCUUUAUUCUUGGAUCUAAAGCUGCUCCCAUAGCCAAGAUUACACUGUAACUUUUCCAGUAUUUAUCAAACUUAACUUGCAUCUCUCUGGCCAUUUCUCUCACUCCAUCAUCAUCACAUUCUGCAUAUCUCUUCAAUAACAAUUGUAUCCUCCAUACUUGUGUGAAGUAGACAUUCGAAGUAGGAUACUUUGAACCCGAAAAAGAAGUCGUGAUAGCACUGAAUGGCUUCAAAAGGUCACAGAUUUUUGCCCCACGUUUCCACUCAUCCUCUGUAGGCAACGUCUUAUACUUUGGAUCAUACAACUCCAUGCUAGCAAAUGCAGCCUUAAACUUGAGAGCUCUGAAAAGCAUCUCAUAUGUAGAGUUCCAGCGAGUAGGAACAUCAAGUGACAACCCCAAUCCACUUGUAAUUCUUACUCUCUCUACACAUGCCGCAAAUGCUUCUUGUCUUUGUGGCGAUGCUUUCACAUAUCUAACACUUUCUCGGAUAUUAUGCAGAAGACUGUUCGCUAAUGCUAAGCCACUUUUCACUAUGAGGUUUAGAAUAUGAGCACAGCAUCUCACAUGUAUGUGUUUACCAUCAGACAACAAACCUCCAUCGCUUCCACCAAUCAUCUGAAGCUUACCCUUGAGGAUUCUCAGCAUACUGUUGUUGUUGGUGGCAUUGUCCAACGUCAUCGAGAAAACCUUCUUCUCCAAACCCCAUCCCUUCAAUGACUCAAAAACCUUAUUAGCUAUUUCCUCACCAGUAUGUGGAGACUUCAUCUCACAAAAUUUUAAGAUCUUGCUGUGUAAUCUCCAGCCAUCAUCAAUAUAAUGUCCAGUUAAGCAGAUAUAACCCAUGUUUUGAGGACGAGCUACCCAUAAAUCAGCGGUGAGACAAACCCUACCACGGUGCUUCACAAACAGCCCUUUCAACUUCUCUUUCUCUAUUUCAUAUCUCCUAUAAACAUCAAGAGCAGCAGUCUGUCUACAGAUAUGUUGAACGUCAGGAUUUAAAUACCUAUCUCUUUCUCUAACUUUCUCAUAUUCCACGUAUCGAAAUGGUAGAUCAUGGUAAAUGAUAGACUCAGUAACCAUCUCACGAUCUACCAUAUGAUCAUACACAUGCUUAUCUACCUUCUUAGGCAUCUUAGAACAAAACUCUAAAUGCCGUUUCAACUGAUUUGUACCAUGAGUCUUACCAACCACUAAUUUUGAAUCACAAUGAAUGCACUUAGCCCUUUCUUUUCCAUCCUCUUCUACCCCCACUAGUACAAAAUCUUUCCAAACAAGUGAAGUUUUUCGACGCUUACGUUGAGGUUUCGCUGCUUGUGUUGAUGCAGUGGCUUGUGGUUCACACUGAACUUCUGCUUCUGCUUCUGUUUCUG
Molecule: long non-coding RNA, 2645 nt
Filed under: Brassica rapa (field mustard)
Lineage: Eukaryota; Viridiplantae; Streptophyta; Magnoliopsida; Brassicales; Brassicaceae
Description: long non-coding RNA (BRAP_LNC000633)
Source: RNAcentral